RNAcentral lists this transfer RNA (82 nucleotides) under Acidobacteriota bacterium. RNAcentral's name for it is "Acidobacteria bacterium (soil metagenome) tRNA-Leu". It matches the Rfam family "tRNA". From Rfam's summary of the family: Transfer RNA (tRNA) molecules are approximately 80 nucleotides in length. Their secondary structure includes four short double-helical elements and three loops (D, anti-codon, and T loops). Further hydrogen bonds mediate the characteristic L-shaped molecular structure. tRNAs have two regions of fundamental functional importance: the anti-codon, which is responsible for specific mRNA codon recognition, and the 3' end, to which the tRNAs corresponding amino acid is attached (by aminoacyl-tRNA synthetases). tRNAs cope with the degeneracy of the genetic code in two manners: having more than one tRNA (with a specific anti-codon) for a particular amino acid; and 'wobble' base-pairing, i.e. permitting non-standard base-pairing at the 3rd anti-codon position. Lineage: Bacteria; Pseudomonadati; Acidobacteriota. The record is from RNAcentral.
GCCGAGGUGGCGUAAUUGGUAGCCGCGCACGUUUGAGGGGCGUGUGGAGCAAUCUGUAUGGGUUCGAGUCCCAUCCUCGGCA